RNAcentral lists this small RNA (129 nucleotides) under Enterobacter bugandensis. RNAcentral describes it as "RtT sRNA". It matches the Rfam family "RtT RNA". From Rfam's summary of the family: This family represents a bacterial cis-regulatory element known as RtT RNA. The exact function of RtT is unknown although it is thought that it may be involved in changing the cellular response in relation to amino acid starvation. The record is from RNAcentral. Lineage: Bacteria; Pseudomonadati; Pseudomonadota; Gammaproteobacteria; Enterobacterales; Enterobacteriaceae. RNAcentral also lists the same sequence under 5 other names.
UUUUUGCUAUCUGCGAUCUGGAUGAUUCGAACCUGCAGCAGGUUCGAGCCGAACGUAGUGAGGCACCGGAGCCGUUUUCGGCGACGGCCCGAAGGGCGAGCGAAGCGAGUCAUCCUGCACGACCCACCA